AUGACGUCAUUACGUCGAGCGUAAACGAACCGGUGAACCGGUUUUUUCAACCGGUUUAUUGAAUCGAAGUGUCCGAAAGAACCGGUUCGCGGAAAAGAACCGAACUCCCAUCACUAGACUGAGCAAGUGUAGGCCUAUGUAUUUCAAAAUUGUGUCUAGUACUAUAUAAAUUACAAAGGUUUAAUUGGCAUCUUUAUUUUCAAACGACCCGACCGACCGCGACCCGAAUAUCUUUAAAAAUGUUUUUGGAUGACUCGUAACCGCGGGUGACCAGGUACCCGAUCAUUUUGGAUCAACCCGCGCAUCACUGUGUUGUACCCCUAAAACUACAUCACUAAAUUCAUCAAAUCAAUUGUUAAUACUAACGUUUAUGUUGUUGUUUUCCCUCCAACAAGCUUUGCUUUGCUUUAAAGUUUGAUAAUAAUUUAAAAUGUCUCUCUAUAAUGCUGAUAAUGUUUCUCUGCAGUUUCAACAUCAACCACCACUGAAAAAACUACUUCAACAACCAUGAAAACCCCAUUAACUGUAAUGUCCACUUCUGAAACUACAACAUACAGUAAAACUAGUAAGUUGUCAAUAAUGACUUUUCUGGUUAUUCUAAAAUAAAUCUGAGAAAUGAUUUUCUUCUAAAAACUGAUUGCCCUUGCAAUGUUAUUUUUUAUUAGCAGACCUCCAAUUCAAGACAAACACGCCAAACAGUACGGCAAAGGAAACCAUGAGUAAGUUCAUCCACUCUUUCUCAAUGGUAAAAGUUACUAUGUAGAAUUAAUAUAAUUAAUAAUUCCUUACAUUUAUAUAGCGCUUUUCUGGGCACUCAAAGCACUUUACAUAGAAGGGGGUAUCUCCUCAACCACCACCAUGUUGGAUUAAAAAGUUCAAAUAUAGCUGGGAAUUAUUUUCAAAGCUUAUUUGUACAUCAGUAACUCAUAGUGGUUGAUCCUGAAUAUAAACAGUAAACACAGAGAAUUCCACAAAGUCAAGUCUCAUGAUUAUGCUGCUGAA
Molecule: long non-coding RNA, 1002 nt
Organism: Cyprinus carpio (common carp)
Lineage: Eukaryota; Metazoa; Chordata; Actinopteri; Cypriniformes; Cyprinidae
Source: Ensembl